This 253-nucleotide ribosomal RNA is filed under the name uncultured bacterium. RNAcentral describes it as "partial 16S ribosomal RNA". It matches the Rfam family "Bacterial small subunit ribosomal RNA", at positions 524 to 776 of the family's 1533-position model. The record is from RNAcentral.
UACAGAGGGUGCGAGCGUUGUCCGGAAUCACUGGGCGUAAAGGGCGCGUAGGUGGCGCCCCAAGUCGAUGGUGAAAGCUCGCCGCUCAACGGCGAGUCGGCCACCGAUACUGGGUUGCUGGAGCACUGUAGAGGCAGAUGGAAUUCCGGGUGUAGCGGUGGAAUGCGUAGAGAUCCGGAAGAACACCGGUGGCGAAGGCGGUCUGCUGGGCAGUUGCUGACACUGAGGCGCGACAGCGUGGGGAGCAAACAGG